Molecule: non-coding RNA, 345 nt
Organism: Caretta caretta (loggerhead turtle)
Lineage: Eukaryota; Metazoa; Chordata; Testudines; Cheloniidae
Source: RefSeq, a predicted model, not a curated record
CGGAGGAAAGCAAAGCCAGAAGCAGCUCGCUAUGGCAAGUGCAGCGGAGGCAGGUGCCCUCUGUUCGCCCUCAGCUCACCGGCGAGUGGGAGAAGAGGACGAGGCUGACAACCUCAGGGAUGGCAGAAGCCAGUGGAGAGAAGACGUCGUCUAGAUUUACGGGUCACAGAUGCAGCAGUUUAGAAGCACCCGUAAGAGCUAUUUCGCUUAGCAAAGACGCAGCAUGAACGAAGUGCACAGGAUUCCAAGCCAGUGCUCCUGCCCAAUAGGCUGAAAACAGCUGUCUGCCUUCCCCCGCUGCUGACAGUGGGCUGAGGGGAUGUCUUCUCCCGGCAAAUGAAGAAG